GAUAGCUGGUUCUCCCCGAAAUAGCUUUAGGGCUAGCGUCGAGGUAAGUUGCGUGAAGGUAGAGCACUGAAUAUGUGAUGGCCCCAUCUCGGGGUACUGAGCAUAAUCAAACUGCGAAUGUCACGCCAACAUGCUCGGCAGUCAGACAGCGGGUGAUAAGGUCCGUUGUCAAGAGGGAAACAGCCCAGACCAUCAGCUAAGGUCCCAAAAUGUAUGCUAAGUGGAAAAGGAUGUGGAGAUGUACAGACAACUAGGAGGUUGGCUCAGAAGCAGCCAUCCUUUAAAGAGUGCGUAACAGCUCACUAGUCGAAUGACUCUGCGCCGAUAAUUUACCGGGGCUAAGCAUACUACCGAAGCUAUGGAUCCCAAGGGAUGGUAGGGGAGCGUUCCAUGAACGGAGAAGUACGACCGAAAGGACGUGUGGAGAUCAUGGAAGAGAGAAUGCCGGUGUGAGUAGCGGAACGUGGGUGAGAAUCCCACGCACCGAAAACCCAAGGUUUCCAGAGGAAGGUUCGUCCGCUCUGGGUAAGUCGGGACCUAAGGCGAGGCCGAGAGGCGUAGUCGAUGGACAACAGGUAGAGAUUCCUGUACCCGUAUAUAUGUGAAGGAAUGACGGAGAGAGGAAGCUGCAGCCAGCGGCUGGAAGAGCUGGUGCAAGCGAGAUAUCGGGAUGGCAGGCAAAUCCACCAUCCGAAACGAGAAGGCGUGAAGCGUACGGAAAGCUACGGCGAGUACGGAAGGCAGUGGAGGAACUUCCAAGAAAAGUUUCUAACGUUAAGUAUAUAUGGCCCGUACCGAAAAUGGACACACAUGGGUGAGGAGAGAAUCCUAAGGUGAGCGAGAGAACUAUAGCUAAGGAACUCUGCAAAAUGACUCCGUAACUUAGGGAGAAGGAGUGCUCAUAGAGAUAUGAGCCGCAGUGAAACGGCCCAAGCGACUGUUUACCAAAAACACAGCUCUCUGCUAAGCCGCAAGGCGAAGUAUAGGGGGUGACGCCUGCCCGGUGCUGGAAGGUUAAGGGGAGGGGUUAACGCAAGUGAAGCCCUGAACUGAAGCCCCAGUAAACGGCGGCCGUAACUAUAACGGUCCUAAGGUAGCGAAAUUCCUUGUCAGGUAAGUUCUGACCCGCACGAAAGGCGUAACGAUUUGGGCGCUGUCUCAGCUGUAGACUCGGUGAAGUCUUAGUACCUGUGAAGAUGCA
Molecule: ribosomal RNA, 1201 nt
Filed under: human gut metagenome
Description: bacterial LSU rRNA
Rfam family: Bacterial large subunit ribosomal RNA
Source: RNAcentral